CAUUGCUGCUCCAUGGAAGAUCUGGGAAAAAUAUGGGAACACUUAAAAUAGGAACUAAAGGGUGAAUACCUCCACCAGAAGGAAUUACCAUUAGUUUGGGAAUUACUGGUAGCACUCUGGAGGGGAGCACCUGGAGGAGGAUGAGGAAGGGUUUAUUUGAGCCGUGGAAUGAGCAGAGGAGACAGUGUAAUGAGGAGAAGACGGGCUGGAGAUCCAUGAUUUUGCCUCCACUAUGGGCCACAGGAUGUCCUUGUGGAGGCCAGAGGCACCUUCCCACACACCAGGAAAUGUGCUGCUGCACUGUGGGAAUGUGAUGGGGUUUUGUGAAAAUAAAGGACUAAGUAGAGCAGAGAGCCCCUCUUCUCUUAUCCUCUGCAGCACUGACUACAAGAGCUUGGCUGCUA
Molecule: long non-coding RNA, 404 nt
Filed under: Junco hyemalis (dark-eyed junco)
Lineage: Eukaryota; Metazoa; Chordata; Aves; Passeriformes; Passerellidae
Description: lncRNA (ENSJHYG00000001999.1)
Source: RNAcentral